RNAcentral lists this ribosomal RNA (490 nucleotides) under uncultured bacterium. RNAcentral's name for it is "partial 16S ribosomal RNA". It matches the Rfam family "Bacterial small subunit ribosomal RNA", at positions 30 to 507 of the family's 1533-position model. The record is from RNAcentral.
AUUGAACGCUGGCGGCAGGCCUAACACAUGCAAGUCGAACGGUAACAGAAAGCAGCUUGCUGCUUUGCUGACGAGUGGCGGACGGGUGAGUAAUGUCUGGGAAACUGCCUGAUGGAGGGGGAUAACUACUGGAAACGGUAGCUAAUACCGCAUAACGUCGCAAGACCAAAGAGGGGGACCUUCGGGCCUCUUGCCAUCGGCUGUGCCCAGAUGGGAUUAGCUAGUAGGUGGGGUAAAGGCUCACCUAGGCGACGAUCCCUAGCUGGUCUGAGAGGAUGACCAGCCACACUGGAACUGAGACACGGUCCAGACUCCUACGGGAGGCAGCAGUGGGGAAUAUUGCACAAUGGGCGCAAGCCUGAUGCAGCCAUGCCGCGUGUAUGAAGAAGGCCUUCGGGUUGUAAAGUACUUUCAGCGGGGAGGAAGGGAGUAAAGUUAAUACCUGUGCUCAUUGACGUUACCCGCAGAAGAAGCACCGGCUAACUCCGUG